RNAcentral lists this ribosomal RNA (1536 nucleotides) under Klebsiella aerogenes. RNAcentral's name for it is "bacterial SSU rRNA". It matches the Rfam family "Bacterial small subunit ribosomal RNA". The record is from RNAcentral. Lineage: Bacteria; Pseudomonadati; Pseudomonadota; Gammaproteobacteria; Enterobacterales; Enterobacteriaceae.
UUGAAGAGUUUGAUCAUGGCUCAGAUUGAACGCUGGCGGCAGGCCUAACACAUGCAAGUCGAGCGGUAACACAGAGAGCUUGCUCUCGGGUGACGAGCGGCGGACGGGUGAGUAAUGUCUGGGAAACUGCCUGAUGGAGGGGGAUAACUACUGGAAACGGUAGCUAAUACCGCAUAACGUCGCAAGACCAAAGUGGGGGACCUUCGGGCCUCAUGCCAUCAGAUGUGCCCAGAUGGGAUUAGCUAGUAGGUGGGGUAAUGGCUCACCUAGGCGACGAUCCCUAGCUGGUCUGAGAGGAUGACCAGCCACACUGGAACUGAGACACGGUCCAGACUCCUACGGGAGGCAGCAGUGGGGAAUAUUGCACAAUGGGCGCAAGCCUGAUGCAGCCAUGCCGCGUGUAUGAAGAAGGCCUUCGGGUUGUAAAGUACUUUCAGCGAGGAGGAAGGCGUUAAGGUUAAUAACCUUGGCGAUUGACGUUACUCGCAGAAGAAGCACCGGCUAACUCCGUGCCAGCAGCCGCGGUAAUACGGAGGGUGCAAGCGUUAAUCGGAAUUACUGGGCGUAAAGCGCACGCAGGCGGUCUGUCAAGUCGGAUGUGAAAUCCCCGGGCUCAACCUGGGAACUGCAUUCGAAACUGGCAGGCUAGAGUCUUGUAGAGGGGGGUAGAAUUCCAGGUGUAGCGGUGAAAUGCGUAGAGAUCUGGAGGAAUACCGGUGGCGAAGGCGGCCCCCUGGACAAAGACUGACGCUCAGGUGCGAAAGCGUGGGGAGCAAACAGGAUUAGAUACCCUGGUAGUCCACGCCGUAAACGAUGUCGACUUGGAGGUUGUGCCCUUGAGGCGUGGCUUCCGGAGCUAACGCGUUAAGUCGACCGCCUGGGGAGUACGGCCGCAAGGUUAAAACUCAAAUGAAUUGACGGGGGCCCGCACAAGCGGUGGAGCAUGUGGUUUAAUUCGAUGCAACGCGAAGAACCUUACCUACUCUUGACAUCCAGAGAACUUAGCAGAGAUGCUUUGGUGCCUUCGGGAACUCUGAGACAGGUGCUGCAUGGCUGUCGUCAGCUCGUGUUGUGAAAUGUUGGGUUAAGUCCCGCAACGAGCGCAACCCUUAUCCUUUGUUGCCAGCGGUUAGGCCGGGAACUCAAAGGAGACUGCCAGUGAUAAACUGGAGGAAGGUGGGGAUGACGUCAAGUCAUCAUGGCCCUUACGAGUAGGGCUACACACGUGCUACAAUGGCAUAUACAAAGAGAAGCGACCUCGCGAGAGCAAGCGGACCUCAUAAAGUAUGUCGUAGUCCGGAUUGGAGUCUGCAACUCGACUCCAUGAAGUCGGAAUCGCUAGUAAUCGUAGAUCAGAAUGCUACGGUGAAUACGUUCCCGGGCCUUGUACACACCGCCCGUCACACCAUGGGAGUGGGUUGCAAAAGAAGUAGGUAGCUUAACCUUCGGGAGGGCGCUUACCACUUUGUGAUUCAUGACUGGGGUGAAGUCGUAACAAGGUAACCGUAGGGGAACCUGCGGUUGGAUCACCUCCUU